CGAAAGCCUGACGGAGCAAUACCGCGUGAGGGAGGAAGGCUCUUGGGUUGUAAACCUCUUUUCUCAGGGAAGAAAAAAAUGACGGUACCUGAGGAAUAAGCAUCGGCUAACUCCGUGCCAGCAGCCGCGGUAAUACGUAGGAUGCAAGCGUUAUCCGGAAUGAUUGGGCGUAAAGGGUCCGCAGGUGGCAUUGUAAGUCUGCUGUUAAAGAGUUUGGCUCAACCAAAUAAAAGCAGUGGAAACUACAAAGCUAGAGUCUGGUCGGGGCAGAGGGAAUUCCUGGUGUAGCGGUGAAAUGCGUAGAUAUCAGGAAGAACACCGGUGGCGAAGGCGCUCUGCUAGGCCAAAACUGACACUGAGGGACGAAAGCUAGGGGAGCGAAUGGGAUUAGAUACCCCAGUAGUCCUAGCCGUAAACGAUGGAUACUAGGUGUAGCUCGUAUCGACCCGAGCUGUACCGUAGCUAACGCGUUAAGUAUCCCGCCUGGGGAGUACGCAGGCAACUGUGAAACUCAAAGGAAUUGACGGGGGCCCGCACAAGCGGUGGAGUAUGUGGUUUAAUUCGAUGCAACGCGAAGAACCUUACCAAGACUUGACAUGUCACGAACCCCGGCGAAAGUUGGGAGUGCCUUAGGGAGCGUGAACACAGGUGGUGCAUGGCUGUCGUCAGCUCGUGUCGUGAGAUGUUGGGUUAAGUCCCACAACGAGCGCAACCCUCGUUUUUAGUUGCCAGCAUUAAGUUGGGCACUCUAGAGAGACUGCCGGUGACAAACCGGAGGAAGGUGGGGAUGACGUCAAGUCAGCAUGCCCCUUACGUCUUGGGCUACACACGUACUACAAUGCUACGGACAAAGGGCAGCUACACAGCGAUGUGAUGCGAAUCUCAUAAACCGUAGCUCAGUUCAGAUCGAAGGCUGCAACUCGCCUUCGUGAAGGAGGAAUCGCUAGUAAUUGCAGGUCAGCAUACUGCAGUGAAUUCGUUCCCGGGCCUUGUACACACCGCCCGUCACACCAUGGAAGUUGGUCACGCCCGAAGUCGUUACCCCAACCGAGAGGAGGGGGAUGCCUAAGGUAGGACUGAUGACUGGGGUGAAGUCGUAACAAGGUAGCCGUACCGGAAGGUGUGGCUGGAUCACCUCCUUUUAGGGAGACC
Molecule: ribosomal RNA, 1152 nt
Filed under: uncultured cyanobacterium
Lineage: Bacteria; Bacillati; Cyanobacteriota
Description: bacterial SSU rRNA
Rfam family: Bacterial small subunit ribosomal RNA
Source: RNAcentral